AUUGUUUUGGCAGAAAAAUGUAAUAAAUUUAGGAUUUAUAAAUGUAAAUUAUUUUACAAACAAUA
Molecule: transfer RNA, 65 nt
Filed under: Tingis cardui
Lineage: Eukaryota; Metazoa; Arthropoda; Insecta; Hemiptera; Tingidae
Description: tRNA-Leu
Source: RNAcentral